AGAUGAAGAACGUAGCGAAAUGCGAUACUUGGUGUGAAUUGCAGAAUCCCGUGAACCAUCGAGUCUUUGAACGCAAGUUGCGCCCGAAGCCAUUAGGCCGAGGGCACGCCUGCCUGGGCGUCACACGUCGUUGCCCCCCCCAUCUACUCCUUCGGGAUUGCGGGGGGCGGAUGAUGGCCUCCCGUGCGCCUCGCCGCGCGGUUGGCAUAAAUGCCAAGUCCUCGGCGACGCACGCCACGACAAUCGGUGGUUGCGAAACCUCGGUUGCCCGUCGUGUGCGGUCGUCGCGCAUCGAGGGCUCGAAAAAAUUGCCGAGUUCCGGCUCGGCUUUCAACGCGACCCCAGGUCAGGCGGGGUUACCCGCUGAAUUUAAGCAUAUCAAUAAGCGGAGGA
Molecule: unclassified non-coding RNA, 393 nt
Filed under: soil metagenome
Description: partial contains 5.8S ribosomal RNA, internal transcribed spacer 2, and large subunit ribosomal RNA
Rfam family: 5.8S ribosomal RNA (bases 2-123)
Source: RNAcentral